This 478-nucleotide ribosomal RNA is filed under the name uncultured bacterium. RNAcentral describes it as "partial 16S ribosomal RNA". It matches the Rfam family "Bacterial small subunit ribosomal RNA", at positions 28 to 523 of the family's 1533-position model. The record is from RNAcentral.
GACGAACGCUGGCGGCGUGCUUAACACAUGCAAGUCGAACGGUAAGGCCCUUCGGGGUACACGAGUGGCGAACGGGUGAGUAACACGUGGGUGAUCUGCCCUGCACUUCGGGAUAAGCCUGGGAAACUGGGUCUAAUACCGGAUAGGACCACUGCCUGCAUGGGUGGUGGUGGAAAGCUUUUGCGGUGUGGGAUGGGCCCGCGGCCUAUCAGCUUGUUGGUGGGGUGAUGGCCUACCAAGGCGACGACGGGUAGCCGGCCUGAGAGGGUGACCGGCCACACGGGGACUGAGAUACGGCCCAGCCGCCUACGGGAGGCAGCAGUGGGGAAUAUUGCACAAUGGGCGCAAGCCUGAUGCAGCGACGCCGCGUGAGGGAUGACGGCCUUCGUGUUGUAAACCUCUUUCAGCACCGACGAAGCGCAAGUGACGGUAGGUGCAGAAGAAGGACCGGCCAACUACGUGCCAGCCGCCGCGGUAA